RNAcentral lists this ribosomal RNA (501 nucleotides) under Leptosphaeria sp. R2EK03. RNAcentral describes it as "eukaryotic LSU rRNA". The stretch from base 98 to 251 matches the Rfam family "5.8S ribosomal RNA". The record is from RNAcentral. Lineage: Eukaryota; Fungi; Ascomycota; Dothideomycetes; Pleosporales; Leptosphaeriaceae.
GCGUACCGUAUGUUUCCUCGGCGGGCUUGCCUGCCGGUUGGACAUUAUCAAACCUUUUUGUAGUUGCAAUCAGCGUCAGAAAACAAAUAAUAAUUACAACUUUCAACAACGGAUCUCUUGGUUCUGGCAUCGAUGAAGAACGCAGCGAAAUGCGAAAAGUAGUGUGAAUUGCAGAAUUCAGUGAAUCAUCGAAUCUUUGAACGCACAUUGCGCCCCUUGGUAUUCCAUGGGGCAUGCCUGUUCGAGCGUCAUUUUGUACCCUCAAGCACUGCUUGGUGUUGGGCGUUUGUCCUGCAAAGGACUCGCCUGAAAGCGAUUGGCGGCCAACGUACUGGUGGUAGAGCGCAGCACAAUUUGCGUCUCUCCCCUCUGCGUCGGCGUCCAUGAAGCCUUUUUUCAACGUUUGACCUCGGAUCAGGUAGGGAUACCCGCUGAACUUAAGCAUAUCAAUAGCCGGGAGGAAAAGAUCAUUAUCAGAACGCGGACUUCGGUCCUUGCUGC